GAUGAACGCUGGCGGCGUGCCUAAUACAUGCAAGUCGAGCGAACGGACGAGAAGCUUGCUCCUCUGAUGUUAGCGGCGGACGGGCGAGUAACACGUGGAUAACCUACCUAUAAGACUGGGAUAACUUCGGGAAACCGGAGCCAAUAACGGAUAAUAAUUAGAACCGCACGGAUCAAAAGUGAAAGACAGUCUUGCUGUCACAUAUAGAUGGAUCCGCGCUGCAUUAGCUAGUUGGUAAGGUAACGGCUUACCAAGGCAACGAUGCAUAGCCGACCUGAGAGGGUGAUCGGCCACACUGGGACUGAGACACGGUCCAGACUCCUACGGGAGGCAGCAGUAGGGAAUCUUCCGCAAUGGGCGAAAGCCUGACGGAGCAACGCCGCGUGAGUGAUGAAGGUCUUCGGAUCGUAAAGCUCUGUUAUUAGGGAAGAACAGAUGUUUGAGUAACUGUGAUCAUCUUGACGGUACCUAAUCAGAAAGCCACGGCUAACUACGUG
This 497-nucleotide ribosomal RNA is filed under the name uncultured bacterium. Its description in RNAcentral is "partial 16S ribosomal RNA". It matches the Rfam family "Bacterial small subunit ribosomal RNA", at positions 28 to 507 of the family's 1533-position model. The record is from RNAcentral.